UAUCCCUCCUCCUUCUCUCUCUUUCCCUUUCUUUGCAAAACCCUAUAGCCGCCGCCUGCUCCAUCUUUCUCUCUCGUCUAAAUAUGGUAAAAUCACAGAGUAGAUGUAAGACACACAGCUUUUGCAGAAUCAUUUACAUGAAACAAUUAAUUUCAAGGUUUGUUUUCACCCAGAUCUCUCCCAAAUGCGGUGUGGGAUUUGGACGCAUUAAAAGCUGUAAGUUCAACUCUUGACACGGCUGCGCAUAAAAAAGAAUCCAGCCACCCUAUUGGGCCAAUAGGAAAUUCUUUCACCGAUUAUUGAUUUCAAGAGAAGAAAUGGAAGCUAAUAUUGUUAAAAAACAUAAAGAAGGCCCAGCCAUGGGUGAAAAUGACCAACUAGGGGCUUGGUACGCCCCUAGUAUUCCCUUUCUCUUUAUUUACCCAUUAUUUGUUAUAUGUAAUUAGUUGUAUCCUGUAUUUGCAGAAUUGUAAAACUCAUGUAUAUUAUUGGAUCCUUAUGAUUAUGAAUUAGUCGUCUUAGCACAACGGUGCCUACGCCGUUUAGUUCGACUUAAGCCCCCACACGAUUUUCAAAUCCGAGCUU
Molecule: long non-coding RNA, 585 nt
Organism: Lycium barbarum (goji berry)
Lineage: Eukaryota; Viridiplantae; Streptophyta; Magnoliopsida; Solanales; Solanaceae
Exons: 3
Source: RefSeq, a predicted model, not a curated record